Molecule: ribosomal RNA, 167 nt
Filed under: uncultured bacterium
Lineage: Bacteria
Description: partial 16S rRNA
Rfam family: Bacterial small subunit ribosomal RNA
Source: RNAcentral
GUAGGGAAUCUUCCACAAUGGGCGCAAGCCUGAUGGAGCAACACUGCGUGAGUGAAGAAGGGUUUCGGCUCGUAAAGCUCUGUUGUUAAAGAAGAACACGUAUGAGAGUAACUGUUCAUACGUUGACGGUAUUUAACCAGAAGUCACGGCUAACUACGUGCCACCAG